AUCAGAUCCGAGCUCAAGCAAGGUUACCCGCUGAAUUUAAGCAUAUAAUUAAGCGGAGGAAAAGAAACCAACAGGGAUUCUCAGAGUAGUGGCGAACGAAAUGGGAUCAGCCCAAUAUGUGAAUCCAGUUUCGGCUGGAAUUGUGCAUAUGUUGGUGCCAACUCUAACUUCCAGAUAAGAUGUCAGGAAAGAUAUGCCAAAGACGGUGAUAGCCCGGUCUGUGCUGGAAGCUUAGAGUGUACGGUAUCAGCAAAAUGAGUCACGCUCUUUGGGAGUAGAGCGCAAAAUUGGUGGUAACCUCCAUCAACGGCUAAAUACUGACGAGAGAUCGAUAGCAAACAAGUACCGUGAGGGAAAGUUGAAAAGCACUUCGAAAGGAGAGUUAAAAUACCUGAAAUCGCUAAAAGGGAAGCGACUAUUUGUGAUCCGCUUGUCUGCUAGGCUCACAUUACAACACUGAUUGUAUGGUUUUGCUUAAUCGCUUUGCCAUAUGAGAAUGGUAAAUGUGAAUACCUUUCGACGAAGCUUGGCAACACUUCGUUGAUCUCUCAGUUGUGCGAAGCUUGCUUCAUACAUCACCUUAGAUCUUCGGAGUGACGUCAACCAUUUGCCGGUUGCCAACUAGUGACACAAAUAGGCGACCCGUCUUGAAACACGGACCAAGGAGUUAAACAUGUGUGCAAGUGUAAGAGUGAUAAACUCAUACGCGCAGUGAAAGCAAUAACGGUAAAUUCAAAUUCAACCGUGGCCGACUAUUAAGUUCGAGCUUGAGCAUAUUUGUUUAGACCCGAAAGAUGGUGACCUAUACCUGAGUUGGGUGAAGCCAGGGGAAACCCUGGUGGAAGCUCGUAGCGAUACUGACGUGCAAAUCGUUCGUCGAACUUGGGCAUAGGGGCGAAAGACUAAUCGAACCAUCUAGUAGCUGGUUCCCUCCGAAGUUUCCCUCAGGAUAGCUGGAAGUUUAACUCAGUUAAACCCGGUAAAGCUAAUGAUUAGAGGCCUCGGGGACAUUCUGUCCUCGACCUAUUCUCAAACUUUAAAUGGGUUUGUCUGUGAAGCUGAUUCACUUAGCCUCUCAGAUGAAUGAUACUUCUUAGUGGGCCAGUUUUGGUAAGCAGAACUGGCGAUGAGGGAUGCUCCUAACGUUUGGUUAAGGCGCUAAACACCCGCUGAUCAGAUACCAUAAAAGGUGUUGGUUCAUUGAAACAGCAGGGCGGUGGUCAUGGAAGUUGAAAUCCGCUAAGGAGUGUGUAACAACUCACCUGCCGAAUGGACCAGCCCUGAAAAUGGAUAGCGCUCAAGCGGGCGGCCGAUACCAAACCGUCAUAACAAUUAAAUGUUUUGCCGUGUAGGAGGGCGUGGGGGUUGCGACGAAGACUCAGUCGUGAGACUAGUUGGAGCAGCUUCUAGUGCAGAUCUUGGUGGUAGUAGCAAUUAAUCACAUGAGAACUGUGAUGACCGAAGUGGAUAAGGGUUCCGAAUGAACAGCAAUUGUCUUCGGGUUAGUCGGUCCUAAAGGAAAAGCUUGCUGCUUCAGAGUGAGGCUUUGCCUCUUGUCCUGAAAGGGAAAAAGGCUCAAAUUCCUUUACUAGUCAGCGAACUUGUGGUAACACAACUGAACUUGGGCUGCCAACGAGAACCCUGGGGAGCGUUAUCUGUGCUCUUUAACUGCGGGACUCCUUCGAAUCGGCUUGUCCGGAGAAAAGGAUGAAUGGCAGGUAUAGGCCUCAGCUUCUGCUAGGGCUCCGGUGCGUCCUCAUUGGUCUAUGAAACCCCAAGGGAUACUUAGUUCGCUUUCUAGCCGUACCCGAAACCGCAUCAGGUCUCCUAGGUUCGCAGCCUCUGGUCGAUAGAAUAAGGCGGAUGAGGGAAGUCGGCAAAUUAGAUCUGUACCUUUGGAAAAAGGAUUGGCUCUGAGGGCCGAGUGAGGAGAGCCUUGUGGUUGUUAGUGCGCUCGCCUAUUCUGGAGACUUGACUCGUUUGAGGCUUUGGAGAGGCAGGUGGCACUUUCGACUGCUUGGUAGAACUACUUCGGUGGUUUGUUCCUCCUCACAAAGACCGGCCAACUCAGAACUGGUGCGGACAAGAGGAAUCUGACUGUUUAAUUAAAACAAAGCAUUGCGAUAACCGGCAAUGGUUUUUACGCAAUGUGAUUUCUGCCCAGUGCUCUGAAUGUCAUUGCGGUGAGAUUCGCCUAAGCGCGGGUAAACGGCGGGAGUAACUAUGACUCUCUUAAGGUAGCCAAAUGCCUCGUCAUUUAAUUAGUGACGCGCAUGAAUGGAUCAACGAGAUUCCUACUGUCCCCAUCCGCCAUCUAGCGAAACCACAGCCAAGGGAACGGGCUUGGCAAAAUAAGCGGGGAAAGAAGACCCUGUUGAGCUUGACUCUAGUCUGAUUUUGUGGAGUGACUUGGGGGGUGUAGCAUACGUGGGAGCUUUUGCGCCAAUGAAAUACCACGACCUCCAAUGUCGCUCUACUUACUCUGUUAUAAAGAGCCACCUCUACGAGGUGUUCUAGAUUUAAGAUGAACUUGUUCGUUGAUCUUGGCAGAGGACAUAUUCAGAUGGGGAGUUUGGCUGGGGCGGCACAUCUGCUAAAUCACAACGCAGAUGCCCUAAGGUUGACUCAGAGAGAACAGAAAUCUCUCGUAGACUGAAAGGGGAAAAGUCAGCUUGAUUCUGAUUUCCAGUGCGAAUACGAACUGCGAAAGCAUGGCCUAUCGAUCCUUUAAGUCCAGAAAGGUUCUGGCUAGAGGUGACGGAAAAGUUACCACAGGGAUAACUGGCUUGUGGCAGCCAAGCGUUCAUAGCGACGUUGCUUUUUGAUCCUUCGAUGUCGGCUCUUCCUAUCAUUGAGAUGCAGAAGUCUCAAAAUGUCGGAUUGUUCACCCGCUAAUAGGGAACGUGAGCUGGGUUUAGACCGUCGUGAGACAGGUUAGUUUUACCCUACUUAUUAUGUGACGUUGUGACAGUAAGCCAACUUAGUACGAGAGGAACCGUUGGCUCAAGCCUCUGGUAACGCAGCUGGCCGAAAGACCAGUGCUGCAAAGCUACGCUUGAAGGAUAAUGACUGAACGCCUCUAAGUCAGAAUCCUAGCUGAAAAACAACGUCUUGACUGCCAGCAAAUGUUCACUGAAUACAUUAGAUUCGAUUGAUUAUAAGCUUCCUAGGCGACCAAAGCUUGGAAGUGCUUUAUAUAUAUUCGCUGGUGGUUAUCAGCAUCCCUAGAAGACGACUAGGACCCAUACAGGUGCUGUAAGCAUGAGAGUAAGCUUUGUCUUACGAUCUGCUGAGGCUUACUGUA
RNAcentral lists this ribosomal RNA (3304 nucleotides) under Periplaneta americana (American cockroach). RNAcentral describes it as "eukaryotic LSU rRNA". It matches the Rfam family "Eukaryotic large subunit ribosomal RNA". The record is from RNAcentral. Lineage: Eukaryota; Metazoa; Arthropoda; Insecta; Blattodea; Blattidae.